Molecule: long non-coding RNA, 108 nt
Organism: Gavialis gangeticus (Gharial)
Lineage: Eukaryota; Metazoa; Chordata; Crocodylia; Gavialidae
Exons: 3
Source: RefSeq, a predicted model, not a curated record
AUACAAUCAUAGAAAAUUAGGGUUAGAAGGGACUUCAGGAGGCCAUUUAGUCCAAGUCUCUGCUCAAGAUAGGACCAUCCCCAACCCAAUCAUCCCAGCCACAGCUUU